UGGGGAAUAUUGCACAAUGGGCGCAAGCCUGAUGCAGCCAUGCCGCGUGUGUGAAGAAGGCCUUCGGGUUGUAAAGCACUUUCAGCGGGGAGGAAGGCGAUAAGGUUAAUAACCUUGUCGAUUGACGUUACCCGCAGAAGAAGCACCGGCUAACUCCGUGCCAGCAGCCGCGGUAAUACGGAGGGUGCAAGCGUUGUCCGGAUUUAUUGGGCGUAAAGCGAGCGCAGGCGGUUUCUUAAGUCUGAUGUGAAAGCCCCCGGCUCAACCGGGGAGGGUCAUUGGAAACUGGGAGACUUGAGUGCAGAAGAGGAGAGUGGAAUUCCAUGUGUAGCGGUGAAAUGCGUAGAUAUAUGGAGGAACACCAGUGGCGAAGGCGGCUCUCUGGUCUGUAACUGACGCUGAGGCUCGAAAGCGUGGGGAGCAAACAGG
This 429-nucleotide ribosomal RNA is filed under the name Chloroflexota bacterium. RNAcentral's name for it is "Chloroflexi bacterium partial 16S ribosomal RNA". It matches the Rfam family "Bacterial small subunit ribosomal RNA", at positions 355 to 776 of the family's 1533-position model. The record is from RNAcentral. Lineage: Bacteria; Bacillati; Chloroflexota.